UGGGUUCUAGUUCAGUCUUUAGUAGUCUGU
Molecule: non-coding RNA, 30 nt
Filed under: Homo sapiens (human)
Lineage: Eukaryota; Metazoa; Chordata; Mammalia; Primates; Hominidae
Source: RNAcentral